AUACCUAUAGUUUAAUGGAAAACACAAGUCUCCAAAACUUGAAGUUCUUGGUUCGAGUCCAAGUGGGUAUG
This 71-nucleotide transfer RNA is filed under the name Caudoviricetes sp. RNAcentral's name for it is "tRNA-Trp". It matches the Rfam family "tRNA". From Rfam's summary of the family: Transfer RNA (tRNA) molecules are approximately 80 nucleotides in length. Their secondary structure includes four short double-helical elements and three loops (D, anti-codon, and T loops). The record is from RNAcentral. Lineage: Duplodnaviria; Heunggongvirae; Uroviricota; Caudoviricetes.